CGCAGAAUGGAGCAGUUGGUAGCUCGCUACCCUCAUACGGUAGAGGUCGCAGGUUCAAGUCCUGCUUCUGCAA
This 73-nucleotide transfer RNA is filed under the name Caudoviricetes sp. Its description in RNAcentral is "tRNA-Met". It matches the Rfam family "tRNA". Rfam says of the family: Transfer RNA (tRNA) molecules are approximately 80 nucleotides in length. Their secondary structure includes four short double-helical elements and three loops (D, anti-codon, and T loops). Further hydrogen bonds mediate the characteristic L-shaped molecular structure. tRNAs have two regions of fundamental functional importance: the anti-codon, which is responsible for specific mRNA codon recognition, and the 3' end, to which the tRNAs corresponding amino acid is attached (by aminoacyl-tRNA synthetases). tRNAs cope with the degeneracy of the genetic code in two manners: having more than one tRNA (with a specific anti-codon) for a particular amino acid; and 'wobble' base-pairing, i.e. permitting non-standard base-pairing at the 3rd anti-codon position. The record is from RNAcentral. Lineage: Duplodnaviria; Heunggongvirae; Uroviricota; Caudoviricetes.